AUGAAGAUGUGAAAGGAAAGCGGCGGACGGGUGAGUAACGCGUGAGUAACCUACCUAUCAGAGGGGGACAACAUUUCGAAAGGAAUGCUAAUACCGCAUAAAAUAACAGUACCGCAUGAUACAGUUAUCAAAGAUUUAUCGCUGAUAGAUGGACUCGCGUCUGAUUAGAUAGUUGGUGAGGUAACGGCUCACCAAGUCGACGAUCAGUAGCCGAACUGAGAGGUUGAUCGGCCACAUUGGGACUGAGACACGGCCCAGACUCC
RNAcentral lists this ribosomal RNA (263 nucleotides) under uncultured Eubacteriales bacterium. RNAcentral describes it as "uncultured Clostridiales bacterium partial 16S ribosomal RNA". It matches the Rfam family "Bacterial small subunit ribosomal RNA", at positions 77 to 339 of the family's 1533-position model. Lineage: Bacteria; Bacillati; Bacillota; Clostridia; Eubacteriales. The record is from RNAcentral. RNAcentral also lists the same sequence under 1 other name.